Molecule: long non-coding RNA, 1118 nt
Filed under: Pollicipes pollicipes
Lineage: Eukaryota; Metazoa; Arthropoda; Thecostraca; Pollicipedomorpha; Pollicipedidae
Description: uncharacterized LOC119089652
Source: RNAcentral
AUUGAGGGCGGCUGGCGACGUUAACGCGGAAGUCCGGUGGCCUUCGUGAAGCUGGCGGGUGGUCGACAGGGGCGUUCUGUCUUUCAACUCACUGCGUUCGUGAACAUUGGAAAGCAGGCCUCAGGACCGGAAGAAUCUCAAACAUGGACAGUGCGGCCAAAUGUAAAAGUUGGUUUUUCAUGAUCAUCAGCGCGCUUGGUCUCUUUGUGGGCCUUGCAGGGUUCUUUGUGUUCAUGUUCACGUUUGCCAAUUAUCAGGCAGGAUCUUUGGCAUGCUUUUCAGGUCUGCUGGCUGCUCUGUGUCUUCACCUUCAGAUACUGGACCAUUUUGAUCUGAUGGAAGCCUGGUAUAACCCAGUCAUCAUGAGGCGGGUUGCCAUAUUUGCCAUCACUGUUCUGCUUGGCAUUCUGGCAUUGAUGGGGUGGUAUCUCAGCAAUGUCAUCUCCAAACAUGAAGGUUUCUACCCAAUUGAGACAAGCAACUCAGUCCGUGCAGUGAUGUGCUUCUUGACCUUGAAGUGGGCCAUCUCCCUGCUGGCAUUCUCAGUUAUUUACCGACGGAAAAUGGUGCAACGGGCUUUCGCCUACCACACCCUACCAGAGGAGCCGGAGGAUGCGUCGCCCGUGCCGACCUGACUCGGCUCGGCUGGCGGCUGACCUCGGCUGACACCAGCUGACCCGCGUGGUGUCCUGCGCCGCAACACGGAGAGGACGGGAGCAGCGAACCGUCAUCGACCGACCGCUUAUCGCGCGGGCCAGGGAUACCCAAAUACGCACACAUCGUGUUCGCCUCGUGUCGUGCUUGGGUUUAGUUACUCAAAUGUACAUGCACGACGAAGGGCCACGUGAACCAGUGAUACAUAGCAUGCACGGAUUGUAGUCGCCUUGUGUCAUACCUGGGUGGAGUUACUUGACUGUGAUUGCACGGAGUGUGAAAACGAAUCUCUCCGCUUAAAAACGGUUGCUUUGGCAACUGCGUUUUGAGCACCUAGGGGUGUAUCGUUUCAGUGUAUGGCGGAUGGUGAACCCAAACUCAAACUUCGUGAUAAAAAGGUUUGUCAUGCACUGUACUUAAAUGCGAUUGGGUGUGUCAUACACAUAUAUUUUGAUAAACCGUCA